UAUUUUCUUCUUUUAGUUAUCAUUUUAAUAACUUUGUAAUAGUAUUACAUUUAAUCAUAUACGUCGGUUUAUGAAGAAUUAAUAUUAUGUAUUAAUUUAUAUAAUUUUUAUAAAUGUUUUAAUUUAAAAAGAAAUUUACCCCACAAUUCAAAUUUUCCUAAUACACCUCUGAUGAAAAGCAUCAACUAUUAAGAAUCUAAUCUCAUCU
Molecule: long non-coding RNA, 208 nt
Filed under: Gossypium barbadense (sea-island cotton)
Lineage: Eukaryota; Viridiplantae; Streptophyta; Magnoliopsida; Malvales; Malvaceae
Description: long non-coding RNA (GBAR_LNC005779)
Source: RNAcentral